Molecule: ribosomal RNA, 253 nt
Filed under: uncultured bacterium
Lineage: Bacteria
Description: partial 16S ribosomal RNA
Rfam family: Bacterial small subunit ribosomal RNA
Source: RNAcentral
UACGUAGGGGGCUAGCGUUGUCCGGAUUUAUUGGGCGUAAAGAGCGUGUAGGCGGCCAGGUAGGUCUGCUGUGAAAACUCGAGGCUCAACCUCGAGACGUCGGCGGAAACCAUCUGGCUAGAGUCCGGAAGAGGAGAGUGGAAUUCCUGGUGUAGCGGUGAAAUGCGCAGAUAUCAGGAAGAACACCCGUGGCUAAGGCGGCUCUCUAGUACGGUACUGACGCCGAGACGCGAAAGCGUGGGGAGCGAACAGG